Long non-coding RNA from Xyrauchen texanus (razorback sucker), 301 nucleotides. RefSeq lists it as uncharacterized. The record is from RefSeq and is a predicted model, not a curated record. NCBI's taxonomy places the organism in Eukaryota, Metazoa, Chordata, Actinopteri, Cypriniformes, Catostomidae. The transcript is spliced from 3 exons.
UGUGGUUCGAGGUACAAUUGGAUGCAGGACAUCUUAGAUUGAAUGAACAAAUAAAUACUGAAAGAAAGGAAAAGACUUUCCUCCUUUACUCCCAAAUUCGAAAACAUAUUAUCUGAGCAGACACUGCAGCUUCAACUUAAUUUGACUGGCCACAUUCACAACAGAAAGUUGUGGGAGACGAGUGUGAUCCAGGAGUGUCUGGAGCACCACCUGCCUCACCUCACAACAGUUCUUCAUCUAGUGGGGAAAGUGAUUAUAAUGACAUUAUAGGAGGUGAUGUUGACACCAUUGAUGAAGAGGC